Molecule: ribosomal RNA, 253 nt
Filed under: uncultured bacterium
Lineage: Bacteria
Description: partial 16S ribosomal RNA
Rfam family: Bacterial small subunit ribosomal RNA
Source: RNAcentral
UACAGAGGUGGCAAGCGUUGUUCGGAAUUACUGGGCGUAAAGGGCGCGUAGGCGGCCUUCUAAGUCAGACGUGAAAUCCCCCGGCUUAACCUGGGAACUGCGUCUGAUACUGGGAGGCUAGAGUGCGGGAGAGGGAUGCGGAAUUCCAGGUGUAGCGGUGAAAUGCGUAGAUAUCGGAAGGAACAUCAGUGGCGAAAGCGACUUCCUGGACCAGUACCGACGUUCAGGCACGAAAGCGUGGGGAGCAAACAGG